GACGAACGCUGGCGGUGUGCUUAACACAUGCAAGUCGUGCGACGAACCAGACUUCGGUCUGGGGCAAAGCGGCGAACGGUGAGUAACACGUGGGUAAUCUGCCCCCGAUGACUGGGACAACCCGAGGAAACUCGGGCUAAUACCGGAUGUGGUGCCUGGACUCAAGUCCGGUCACUAAAGGUAGCUUCGGCUUCCGCAUUGGGAGGGCCCCGCGGGCCCCAUUUAGCUUGUUGGUGGGGUCAAGGCCUACCAAGGCAACGAUGGGUAGCUGGUCUGAGAGGACGAUCAGCCACACUGGGACUGAGACACGGCCCAGACUCCUACGGGAGGCAGCAGUGGGGAAUCUUGCGCAAUGCGCGAAAGCGUGACGCAGC
This 374-nucleotide ribosomal RNA is filed under the name uncultured bacterium. Its description in RNAcentral is "bacterial SSU rRNA". It matches the Rfam family "Bacterial small subunit ribosomal RNA", at positions 28 to 392 of the family's 1533-position model. The record is from RNAcentral.